AGGCAGCAGUGGGGAAUAUUGCACAAUGGGCGAAAGCCUGAUGCAGCAACGCCGCGUGAGGGACGACGGCCUUCGGGUUGUAAACCUCUUUUAGUAGGGAAGAAGCGAAAGUGACGGUACCUGCAGAAAAAGCACCGGCUAACUACGUGCCAGCAGCCGCGGUAAUACGUAGGGUGCAAGCGUUGUCCGGAAUUAUUGGGCGUAAAGAGCUCGUAGGCGGUUUGUCGCGUCUGCUGUGAAAUCCGGAGGCUCAACCUCCGGCCUGCAGUGGGUACGGGCAGACUAGAGUGCGGUAGGAGAGAUUGGAAUUCCUGGUGUAGCGGUGGAAUGCGCAGAUAUCAGGAGGAACACCAAUGGCGAAGGCAGAUCUCUGGGCCGUAACUGACGCUGAGGAGCGAAAGCAUGGGGAGCGAACAGGAUUAGAUACCCUGGUAGUCCAUGCCGUAAACGUUGGGAACUAGAUGUGGGGGCCAUUCCACGGUCUCCGUGUCGCAGCUAACGCAUUAAGUUCCCCGCCUGGGGAGUACGGCCGCAAGGCUAAAACUCAAAGGAAUUGACGGGGGCCCGCACAAGCGGCGGAGCAUGCGGAUUAAUUCGAUGCAACGCGAAGAACCUUACCAAGGCUUGACAUAUAGAGGUAACGUGCAGAAAUGUACGCCCCGCAAGGUCUCUAUACAGGUGGUGCAUGGUUGUCGUCAGCUCGUGUCGUGAGAUGUUGGGUUAAGUCCCGCAACGAGCGCA
Molecule: ribosomal RNA, 741 nt
Filed under: uncultured bacterium
Lineage: Bacteria
Description: bacterial SSU rRNA
Rfam family: Bacterial small subunit ribosomal RNA
Source: RNAcentral